RNAcentral lists this non-coding RNA (162 nucleotides) under human gut metagenome. The record is from RNAcentral.
GUUGCGCCGUCUGACGAAGAGGGAACCGGGUGCAAUUCCCGGACAGUCCCGCUGCUGUGAGCUCCUUUGAUUGCAGACACUACGUUUCAGCCACUGGUUGGUUCUCUGAUUCAACUGGGAAGGCGUGUUUGCAGGAGUAAGUCAGAAGACCUGCCGUUGCUG